Long non-coding RNA from Aquila chrysaetos chrysaetos, 953 nucleotides. RefSeq lists it as uncharacterized. The transcript is spliced from 3 exons. The record is from RefSeq and is a predicted model, not a curated record. Lineage: Eukaryota; Metazoa; Chordata; Aves; Accipitriformes; Accipitridae.
UAUAAGGGUGAUCUCUGCACCCCUGUAGAGCUUUCCCUUUUCCAGCGUCGGGUUAACCAGACUAACCUGAAGAUGACUGGAUUUUCAGCUUCCACUGUAUAUGCUGAAUGUUACUUAACCAAAUUUACAGUUUACAGCAGUAUACCUCUAUAUUCACAGGGGUGAAUUUGUCUCUUCCUCUCUCUGUGAAUUAACAGCCUGUGUCUCUCCAGUAUACCUAUAGCAGUACCAGAAGAAAAAUGAUCCGGUCUCCUAGAUGUUGUAUGUACACCCCGUCUGAUCCCAAGAGGUAGAGGUUGCGACAUUCCUGUCUCCGACCCGCACCCUGACCCACCACAUUUGCGAAGGUUGCAUCCUCCCCUGUAGUCUGACCUCCUGCACAGGGAAGAAGCAGGAUCAGUGGUAAUAAAGCUGGAACUGUAGUCAUGCAAUCUCCGGGAGGAGAGAGAUACAAGAACAAAAUCCUCUGGCAUCGACAGGAGGAGGCCAGAAGUGGAAUAGCAGCGGUGCUGGUGACACUGGCGCUGAAGGUUUUGGUGCCAAUCCAGUGCAGGGCAUGAGGAAAUCCUGGACACCUGACCACCGCACCUCUGCAGAAAACUCCGUCCCAGGCUACCUAAACAGCCAAUAAGGGUGGUAAUUUUCCAGCACAAACAGUGGGAGACCAGCUUUGCAGAAGAAGGCUUCCUAUCCCCAUGCUGCUCCCUCAGGUGCUCACAACCCAACGAACCGCUCGUGGCAAUCCUGUGAACUACUAACCAUGAAAGCCCUCGGGGGCUGAUGCGAAUGCCUGAGCUUCUCUCACAGCCACGUCUCCUUGUUCUUUACCCUUUUGGCGUUCUAAAGCAUGUUUUAGUUUUGACAUACUCUAGACCAGCUUGUAAAGAACAAUAAAAAAAAAGUAUGCACUUCAAAUUCUUCAAAAAUCCAUGUGUAACCCUUAAAUAUCAGGA